AGACCGGCGUUCUCCACCAAGUAAUAAAAGUCUUCAUAAAGCCCAGCGGCGCGCAAAAAUUCAUCACUUGGCCACUCGCACACUCGAACUUCUGUGACUCGAGGGACUACGUACUUGGGGUGGUUCUUCUCAUCCUCCUUGGGGUUACGGCUUGAAGAGCCUCUCAAGAACCUCCUCAUCUUUUCCUAUUUCUAGCUCU
RNAcentral lists this long non-coding RNA (199 nucleotides) under Hordeum vulgare. RNAcentral's name for it is "long non-coding RNA (HVUL_LNC004007)". Lineage: Eukaryota; Viridiplantae; Streptophyta; Magnoliopsida; Poales; Poaceae. The record is from RNAcentral.